RNAcentral lists this ribosomal RNA (253 nucleotides) under uncultured bacterium. Its description in RNAcentral is "partial 16S ribosomal RNA". It matches the Rfam family "Bacterial small subunit ribosomal RNA", at positions 524 to 776 of the family's 1533-position model. The record is from RNAcentral.
GACAGAGGUGCCAAGCGUUAGGCGGAAUCACUGGGCUUAAAGCGUGUGUAGGCGGAUCGUUAAGUACCUUGUGAAAUCCCACGGCUCAACCGUGGAACUGCUGGGUAUACUGGCGAUCUUGAGCCACCUAGGGGCGAGCGGAACAAGCGGUGGAGCGGUGAAAUGCGUAGAGAUCGGGAAGAACAUCGGUGGCGAAGGCGGUCUGCUGGGCCGUUGCUGACGCUGAGGCGCGACAGCGUGGGGAGCAAACAGG